GACGAACGCUGGCGGCGUGCCUAAUACAUGCAAGUAGAACGCACAGUUUAUACCGUAGCUUGUUACACCAUAGACUGUGAGUUGCGAACGGGUGAGUAACGCGUAGGUAACCUGCCUGGUAGCGGGGGAUAACUAUUGGAAACGAUAGCUAAUACCGCAUAAUAUUGAUUAUUGCAUGAUAAUUGAUUGAAAGAUGCUAUUGCAUCACUACCAGAUGGACCUGCGUUGUAUUAGCUAGUAGGUGAGGUAACGGCUCACCUAGGCGACGAUACAUAGCCGACCUGAGAGGGUGAUCGGCCACACUGGGACUGAGACACGGCCCAGACUCCUACGGGAGGCAGCAGUAGGGAAUCUUCGGCAAUGGACGAAAGUCUGACCGAGCAACGCCGCGUGAGUGAAGAAGGUUUUCGGAUCGUAAAGCUCUGUUGUAAGAGAAGAACGGGUGUGAGAGUGGAAAGUUCACACUGUGACGGUAUCUUACCAGAAAGGGACGGCUAACUACGUG
RNAcentral lists this ribosomal RNA (505 nucleotides) under uncultured bacterium. RNAcentral describes it as "partial 16S ribosomal RNA". It matches the Rfam family "Bacterial small subunit ribosomal RNA", at positions 28 to 507 of the family's 1533-position model. The record is from RNAcentral.